This 754-nucleotide small RNA is filed under the name Histoplasma capsulatum var. duboisii H88. Its description in RNAcentral is "Histoplasma capsulatum H88 hypothetical RNA". Lineage: Eukaryota; Fungi; Ascomycota; Eurotiomycetes; Onygenales; Ajellomycetaceae. The record is from RNAcentral.
AAAGAAAACUAAAGAGGAAAGAGAAAGAAAAAGAAAUAAUUGCAACACACAGCAGAAGGCAAGUGGGAAAUAUUUCAUAAAGUGGACAUAGAUAUACUGCGCAGGUUUGGGACGAUCAAUCGAUUGAAUGGACUGAGGCCAGAGAGAGACGGGGGUGAGGACUGAUAGAUGGACAGACUCAAUCUUAGAUUGGUCUGCACUACACUAUUUUCCGCGAUCUGUUGAGGAUCAGUAGAUUUUGUAUCUGAGAGAAAGGUGAAGAUAGGUUCAAAUGGAAAUAAAAUGAUAAAUAGAAAACAAAAAAAUAGGUUAUGGUAUACAUGCAGAACAAACAAAAAAGAAAGAAAAAGAACUUAGUGCCAUGCUCCUGUGGAUCUAUCCCCAUGCUUUUGCCUUUCUUUGGUUUCGGGUUGUUGGUUCUAUUUUUUGUCUGCUGCUUGAUGACACUUUUCAGAUAAAACAUGGGGCAAGGUGCAAUUUGGGAGGGUAAUAACAUGUUGAGAAACAAAUGAACAAAGUAGGAAAGAAACAAAAAUGCAUGCAGGUUGAAUGGGGUGAGGUCAAUUGGAUUGGUAUCUGUUGUUCCAUAGCUGUUUGCUAUUGUCGUUGAUUUUUGCUUGCAAGGGACAAAAGUGUUCAGUAGUCAGAAGGGGUAUUUUAGUUCACCCGUGAUGAGGAGGUAAACUACGCUGAAGAAGAAAUGUUUAGAAGAAGAAGCAUUUAGAGCAAAGUAAAAAAAAAGUCAAGGCGCGUC